This 81-nucleotide transfer RNA is filed under the name Lomariopsis japurensis. RNAcentral describes it as "tRNA-Arg". The record is from RNAcentral. Lineage: Eukaryota; Viridiplantae; Streptophyta; Polypodiopsida; Polypodiales; Lomariopsidaceae.
AGGUUGGCUAAUCAAUGAUGGAGAGUGGGAGACACAUCAUCUCGAGAUGUGAAUCCGGGGGUUCGAAUCCCUACCAACUCA